RNAcentral lists this ribosomal RNA (119 nucleotides) under Triticum dicoccoides. The record is from RNAcentral. Lineage: Eukaryota; Viridiplantae; Streptophyta; Magnoliopsida; Poales; Poaceae.
AGAUGCGAUCAUACCAGCACUAAAGCACCGGAUCCCAUCAGACCUCCGAAGUUAAGCGUGCUUGGGCGAGAGUAGUACUAGGAUGGGUGACCUCCUAGGAAGUCCUCGUGUUGCAUUCC